This 550-nucleotide ribosomal RNA is filed under the name uncultured bacterium. Its description in RNAcentral is "bacterial SSU rRNA". It matches the Rfam family "Bacterial small subunit ribosomal RNA", at positions 355 to 896 of the family's 1533-position model. The record is from RNAcentral.
UAGGGAAUCUUCCGCAAUGGACGCAAGUCUGACGGAGCAACGCCGCGUGAGUGAAGAAGGUUUUCGGAUCGUAAAACUCUGUUGUUAGAGAAGAACAAGUGCUAGAGUAACUGUUAGCGCCUUGACGGUAUCUAACCAGAAAGCCACGGCUAACUACGUGCCAGCAGCCGCGGUAAUACGUAGGUGGCAAGCGUUGUCCGGAUUUAUUGGGCGUAAAGCGAGCGCAGGCGGUUCCUUAAGUCUGACGUGAAAGCCCCCGGCUCAACCGGGGAGGGUCAUUGGAAACUGGGGAACUUGAGUGCAGAAGAGGAGAGUGGAAUUCCAUGUGUAGCGGUGAAAUGCGUAGAUAUAUGGAGGAACACCAGUGGCGAAGGCGACUCUCUGGUCUGUAACUGACGCUGAGGCUCGAAAGCGUGGGUAGCAAACAGGAUUAGAUACCCUGGUAGUCCACGCCGUAAACGAUGAGUGCUAAGUGUUGGAGGGUUUCCGCCCUUCAGUGCUGUAGUUAACGCAUUAAGCACUCCGCCUGGGGAGUACGACCGCAAGGUUG